UGUGCCCAUCUUAGGUUAAUCUGCA
Molecule: unclassified non-coding RNA, 25 nt
Filed under: Mus musculus (house mouse)
Lineage: Eukaryota; Metazoa; Chordata; Mammalia; Rodentia; Muridae
Description: oocyte_clustered_small_RNA1673
Source: RNAcentral